This 291-nucleotide signal recognition particle RNA is filed under the name Marmota marmota marmota (Alpine marmot). RNAcentral describes it as "Metazoan signal recognition particle RNA (ENSMMMG00000006433.1)". It matches the Rfam family "Metazoan signal recognition particle RNA". Rfam says of the family: The signal recognition particle (SRP) is a universally conserved ribonucleoprotein. It is involved in the co-translational targeting of proteins to membranes. Lineage: Eukaryota; Metazoa; Chordata; Mammalia; Rodentia; Sciuridae. The record is from RNAcentral.
GUCCCACAUAGUAGGAUAUGCCUACAUUCCCAGCUACUUAGGAGACUGAGGUGGGAGGGUCAAUUGAGUCCAGGGGCUCUAGGCUAUAGUGUGCUAUGUUGACCCCAUGUAUGCACUAACUUUGGCAUCAAUAUGGUAACUUCCCAGGAGCAUAGGACCACAGAGCCUAAAGAGGGGUGAACAACCCAGGUCAAAAUGGAGCAGGUCAAAAUUCCUGUGCUGAUGAGUGGUGGGAUUGGGUUUGUGCCUGUGAAUAACCACUGCACUUCAGCCUGGCGAGACCCUGUUUCU